UUCCGACAGAAAAACAAUAAACCAUAUAUAAGAUUUUCUUAGUAGUACUAACACAUUAACAUAAUCGUAAUAAUUUCCUCCAGGCCACCCAGUGAUACCAAGCUUCAUUAGCUCUUCCACAACUUCAUUUUUAAAAUUUAUUAAGAACAUCCACUACCUUGAAACGGAUUUUAGAAAUUAUUUAGUUUAAGUUUAUAACGUCAUCAUUUACAUGAAAAGACAAGGAUCGUGAUGCAAACAAAUUACUGAGUUAUACUUGAAAAUAAAAAGGGAACGGUAGUGCUCAACGUAUUACACGUUAAAACCACUAAGUUUCUAAGAACAAAUUAUUUAUAAGAGCAAAUAAUACACCAAACGAGAAUUUUUAAAGUUAACUACGAAGAAACACUGAAGGCUAAGAGUCCGGCAUCACUCAGGCGCCAUUUCCGAUAGCACUCACCUAACCAUUACCAAGUCGCCGCGCGGCCGGGCAGCAUGACAGCCUUCCACAGGAUUACCGCAUGUGAAUAAACAUACUGUCCUAAUUUAAAUCUUAAUUUGGCCAUCUUAUUAAGUUUCUGAACUCUUCCUGAGACUCCUGUAAAACCUCUUGGUUCUGCGGAUUUCCAACAACUUUUCGGUACUAAUCUAUCCUCAAUUAGUGAUACCGCAGCUCCUGUAUCGAUAAAAACGGGGAUUUCUUUUCCGAACAUUUUUGUCUUCUGACUUAAAAUACCGUCAUUUUGUAAAAGAGACAUUUGGUUAACAAGGGACGAGUUGUCACCCCGACCGACUCUCGCCCUAUUUAGUUUCCCUGUUGUGACGUUUUGCAAUCUCGUAUCAAGUGACCUGGUCGUUUGCAUUUUAAACAAAUCGGCCUACCAUCUGAGGUCCACUGUGGUCUGUCAGUUAUUUUUGGAAAUGAAUUACUUGGGGUCUGCCUGAAAAAAUUGUUGUUCUGAUUUCGGUGGUAUUGUGUUAGUGUACUGUUAUUUUUGUAAUUUCCUCCCUGAGUUCUAAACUGUGACUUUGGUUGUGCCUGUAAUCUCAUUUAGCAUAUUGGUCCAAUAAUAACGACGUAUAAUUUUGUCUGCGGUGCGAACUACUCCUAAGUGACCGCCAAAAGUGGGAUUGUCGUGACUUUCCCUCAGAAUUUCAGCCUUUAAGCGGGUUGAAAUUUUGCAGGGUUGUUGAAAUCAAAUUUAGGGACUUUACUGACGGGACUCUGGGCUGGCUGCUCUGUUCACUCGUCAGCGCAAGUGGCGUGACCAUGUAAUUGGGGCACGGGGCCGGCGCGGCGCGCUGCGGGCUUGCAGAAUUUUGUUUGUUUGUUUGGCCGCGCGCUGGCGCAGCCACGGGCCGCAGUUACUGGGGCGCGCUGUCGUAACAAGCCGCGCGGUGUGGCCUGCACAUUGGGGUAGAGGGGGGGUAGUCUUCCCAGAUGUUCUAGUUAGUUGUUUAGUAAAUUUGACUUCAAUAACGAGCUUUUGUUAUGGUAGGCGCGGCAGGGCGCGCGAAUUUAAGCGCAAGUGAGUGGUGACUCGGGGCUCACUCAGGCGGAGGCUAUGCGUCUCACCUGUGGUCACGAGUUGUUAGUUCGUUCGUGAUGUAGGAAUUCAAGCUUUCGGGCGGAAGCUAUGGUCGACGCCAGAGGCCACGAGUCGUUUAAUUUAAGUUAGGUCAUAAUGUAGUCGUCAAGCUCACUCAGGCGGAGGCUAUGCGUCUCACCUGUGGUCACGAGUUGUUAGUUCGUUCGUGAUGUAGGAAUUCAAGCUUUCGGGCGGAAGCUAUGGUCGACGCCAGAGGCCACGAGUCGUUUAAUUUAAGUUAGGUCAUAAUGUAGUCGUCAAGCUCACUCAGGCGGAGGCUAUGCGUCUCACCUGUGGUCACGAGUUGUUAGUUCGUUCGUGAUGUAGGAAUUCAGGCUCACUCAGGCGGAGACUAUGCGUCUCACCUGUGGCCACGAGUUGUUUAGUUAGUUCGUUCGUGAUGUAGUUUAAGUUAGGUCAUAAUGUAGUCGUCAAGCUUUCGGGCGGAGGCUAUGGCCCUCGUCAGGGGUCACGCGUCAUAGUUUUUAAAAUGUAAUGUUCGUUCGGGAUUUCAAGGGCAGGAGAGGCCCCUACGUUAUUUUUUUUAAAGUAAUCGAUCAAGAAAGGCUUUUCGGAAAAUGUGAGUAUGGACUUAUCUUUGUUUUAAUUUUAAGUAUUAAUUAUGAUUUGAGGUAUUCGGAAGGACUAGGGAAGUGUUUAGUGAAGUUCUCUCAUUCUCUCUCUUGUAAGGUCGUUCAAUCGUUAAGGAAGUAAAGAGAUUAUUGUUUUAAAUUGUAAUCCCGCUAUUCAAAUGUUCUUUAAAAUGAUGUUGAGUAUUUGACUUUAAGAAUAAAAUAAUUUUAAUUAAGUAUUAUGUUAUUUUGCAAAAUCUCCUUAGUUCAGCUCUCACCAGACAUCCUGUACGGGAUGACGAACCUAUGAUCCUAGGUACAGUAAAGUAUUUUAUGAAGUUAAGACUAGUUGAUGCCAAGCGAGUUGUUUCUAUGUAAAGAGCUACGAUUCUCUCCCCCCUCUGAAGGUGGCUCGUGACAGAAAUGGCGGUGGCACCGGCUAGGUGCACGUUACAAGAAAUGGUAGAGUUCGCCGGAUAGGUUCUAUUUCUGGAGAGAGAGAGAGGUAGAUUUUUAUGUUUAUUAUUAAGUUAGUUUCAGCUUCUGAUAGCAGGUUAUUAAGAGUUUACUUGAGGAGAGGAUUACGGAAUUUAAUCUAAGUGGAGGAAGUCUUUGAGAUUUUUUUUUUGACGUAACAGAUGAUUAUUUGAGUAUACUUGUAAGGAUAAAGUUUAUAGUGAUAAGUUGUUUUAAGUCGUUGAAUUUAUUGUAGAUUUAUAUCGGGGAUUAUUACGUGAGGAGAAUACGUUAUAAGUUAAAUGCUUAUUAGAGAUAAUGCAAGUGGUUUAAUUUAAUUGAAGUUCAUUUUAAGAUUGUAGGUUAAGAGAAUUAUAAUUUAAAAUAAAGUUUUUUGUCGUAAAUAGGAAUUAUUUUCAAGAGAAGUUUGUUUUGUUUUCGUGCGCGUAGGAGACGAGACGUACGAAUUAAAUCAGUCGAGGGAAGGAUAAACGUUAGAAAGGAAUUAAAGAGAAAACGAGAGUUUAUGUAAAAGAGAGUUAUAGAAUUUAUAGUGAUGUUUUGUUUUAAUUAGAAAAAUGUUGAGAGUUGUUUCAGAACGACACGUCAGUGGACGUGGCAGAGUGAACACGUGACGGGGAGGUGCUGAGACCUAGCGGAGAACGGAGGAACCGCAAGCGAGGGUUGGCGCACCUGAUGGAAUUCGGUGACGUCACGGGCUCAUACGGAGACGUGGACAGGCCGUGACCUUGUUUUGAUCAGCUGUACGGUAACUUAGCGAUAAGAAAAUAGACUAUUGGUUAAAUAAAUUUAAAUUUAAGUGUGUUUUAGGAGAAGAGGAACUUUCAGUAUAUUCCUUAAGAUGAGCUGAGCAGCAGUCCAGUUUACAAGAUGACAAGAGUUCGAGAGACAAGAUACAAGAUCACUGAAACAAGAGCCAAGACUGAAGAUUCAAGAGAAGAGAAAGCUGGCAGCCAUGGACUUACAAGUGGAGAUUAAUAAGGUCAUGUAAAGUUUUAUUUUUUUUUAUGGAAGACAGUAACUGGAGUUUUUUUUUGUUAUAAACAUUAUUUACAGAACUUUUUAGGUUAUAGUAAUGUAAUGGAACUAGUGAGUUGUGGUAGCUGUCAAAAAGAACUAAUACCUUAAGUUUAAUUUUUAAAGUUAAUUUUCUUAAUUUACAGAGGGAUUAGUAGUUUUUUUAAACCUUAUUUAGGUUGGAAUUUAAAUACAAUAGCUUAUUAUAAAUGUGUACGAACAGUUCAAGUUCACAGUACUGAUAGGUAGGUCAGAUGAUCUUAUUGAUUUUGAUGAUUUGUUGUUUUGAGUUGAUUUUUAGGUGUUGUGAAUUAGACAAUGAAAUAGUUCUGAAAACUUAAAUUAUUUCAAGCUAAGAAAUAGUAAAGUUAAUUGUAACUCAAAGGACACCAGAAUUUAAUUUUUUUUUGAAUUAGUAAUGUUUGAAAAUUUUAUACUUUACAAGAAAGGUUAUAAACAAACAGAUCGGAUGGAACAAGGAUGCAGUAAAUCACAAUUUCAUUUAGAAUUAUUGAUUAGCUUUUGAGGUUAUGAAGUAAAAGUAAUUAUAGUUUAAAAGUUUGAAUAAAAAAAAAUGUUUUUUUUUUAUUUGUUUGAAAUAGAAAGUUUAAAAGUUAAUUAGUCAUGAUCUAGGUGGGUGAUGGGGUGGGAAUUGGCCACUCUUUUUCCCUAUAACCUCCCUAACAUGGCCUUCUAUUACAACUAACAGAAAUAAAGAAGAAGAAAAAUGAAGAAUUAUUAGUUAGAAUGUUUCUUUCAUGAAGAUACCUGAUGAACUUUUACUGUUUGGAAGAAUAGAAGCAAGGUUAGUCAGAUAUUUUUACUCAGAAGAAGAAGAAGAUAAAGCAGUUUUAUGACUCGACAAGCCAGAGAUUGGUGUUUCCCCUCUGCGCUUCUAUUGACUACGUUGUUUACUCUCAUGGGAUAGCUGGUUCGGCACCAUGGAGAGAGAUUGGUGGGCAUUGUGGUUGCCCCCAGAAGAAAAGAAGAGUAGAAGAGGUUAUGGGUGGGUCAUGUGAACUGACCUUCAACCCAGUUACUUCGUGGGGACUAUUUGCUGUAUAGAGAAGAUCAAGACUCAAGAGUUAGGGAAAAUCAUUGGAGGUCAUGUUUCCCUUCCUUAAGUUUUUCCUAUCAAAUUAUUUGCCUGAUUAGAUUAUGCUAAGGGUGGGAUACUUUAUGUUAGCAGUUGAAUUAAUUAAUUAUAUUUUUUUGUGUGUUUGCAUCCUUGCCCAUCGAUUGCAGUUUAGUAGUUAGUUUUGUAUUUGUCAGGCGUGAUGGUAAUGCCUGUUGAUGAUGUUUCAGAAUUGUAAUCUGUUCGUGAUGAGGAUGGCACAACUCCGAAGCAGAUGUGGGGAGAAGUUGUGAGCUGCCCUGGAAGCCAGUCCAGUAGCUGUUGGAGUUGAGUGGUGUUUGCUGAUGGCCAGCCCAGGGAGCUACUCUUCUCGACAACACUGACUUCGAGGAGUUGCACCAACCUUCACGAGAUAAGAGUUUAAUUAAUUGAAACACUGUAAGGACACUUAAUUUUUUUUGAAGAACGAAAGAAGUAUGGUAAUAAACGGAAACCGAAAAAAAAAAAAUAAUAAUAAUUAUCAAGAAUUUGCACAUUGUUUAACGAAUACUGAGAAACUAAGAACAGUAAUUUAAUUUGUAAAGAGAGCUUCACUAACAGAACAAUUUUUUUAGAAUUGAGAACUCGAGCCUCUGAAGGUUCCUGUGAGAACAAACCAGAUAAAAGUUUUACAUUUAAUUUUAUGAAUACUUGUUGUUUUAAAAUAAAUCUUAUGCAGAAUCUAGAUGUAUGUUCAGACAGCAAGGAACUAAGAAAAUUAUUAUUUUUGUGAAAUGAGGAAUUUAUAGUUAUGGUUUAAUGGAAAAAGACAAUUUGUAAUUUUGAGGUAGCUCGAUGGGGCUCGAGCUCUGUGAGGGGAGGGUUAUGUCGCGGGUUGAAAUUUUGCAGGGUUGUUGAAAUCAAAUUUAGGGACUUUACUGACGGGACUCUGGGCUGGCUGCUCUGUUCACUCGUCAGCGCAAGUGGCGUGACCAUGUAAUUGGGGCACGGGGCCGGCGCGGCGCGCUGCGGGCUUGCAGAAUUUUGUUUGUUUGUUUGGCCGCGCGCUGGCGCAGCCACGGGCCGCAGUUACUGGGGCGCGCUGUCGUAACAAGCCGCGCGGUGUGGCCUGCACAUUGGGGUAGAGGGGGGGUAGUCUUCCCAGAUGUUCUAGUUAGUUGUUUAGUAAAUUUGACUUCAAUAACGAGCUUUUGUUAUGGUAGGCGCGGCAGGGCGCGCGAAUUUAAGCGCAAGUGAGUGGUGACUCGGGGCUCACUCAGGCGGAGGCUAUGCGUCUCACCUGUGGUCACGAGUUGUUAGUUCGUUCGUGAUGUAGGAAUUCAAGCUUUCGGGCGGAAGCUAUGGUCGACGCCAGAGGCCACGAGUCGUUUAAUUUAAGUUAGGUCAUAAUGUAGUCGUCAAGCUCACUCAGGCGGAGGCUAUGCGUCUCACCUGUGGUCACGAGUUGUUAGUUCGUUCGUGAUGUAGGAAUUCAAGCUUUCGGGCGGAAGCUAUGGUCGACGCCAGAGGCCACGAGUCGUUUAAUUUAAGUUAGGUCAUAAUGUAGUCGUCAAGCUUUCGGGCGGAGGCUAUGGCCCUCGUCAGGGGUCACGCGUCAUAGUUUUUAAAAUGUAAUGUUCGUUCGGGAUUUCAAGGGCAGGAGAGGCCCCUACGUUAUUUUUUUUAAAGUAAUCGAUCAAGAAAGGCUUUUCGGAAAAUGUGAGUAUGGACUUAUCUUUGUUUUAAUUUUAAGUAUUAAUUAUGAUUUGAGGUAUUCGGAAGGACUAGGGAAGUGUUUAGUGAAGUUCUCUCAUUCUCUCUCUUGUAAGGUCGUUCAAUCGUUAAGGAAGUAAAGAGAUUAUUGUUUUAAAUUGUAAUCCCGCUAUUCAAAUGUUCUUUAAAAUGAUGUUGAGUAUUUGACUUUAAGAAUAAAAUAAUUUUAAUUAAGUAUUAUGUUAUUUUGCAAAAUCUCCUUAGUUCAGCUCUCACCAGACAUCCUGUACGGGAUGACGAACCUAUGAUCCUAGGUACAGUAAAGUAUUUUAUGAAGUUAAGACUAGUUGAUGCCAAGCGAGUUGUUUCUAUGUAAAGAGCUACGAUUCUCUCCCCCCUCUGAAGGUGGCUCGUGACAGAAAUGGCGGUGGCACCGGCUAGGUGCACGUUACAACCAUUGCAUGGUGCAUUACCGAGUUAUACUUGAAAAUAAAAAGGGAACGGUAGUGCUCAACGUAUUACACGUUAAAACCACUAAGUUUCUAAGAACAAAUUAUUUAUAAGAGCAAAUAAUACACCAAACGAGAAUUUUUAAAGUUAACUACGAAGAAACACUGAAGGCUAAGAGUCCGGCAUCACUCAGGCGCCAUUUCCGAUAG
Molecule: long non-coding RNA, 7060 nt
Organism: Bacillus rossius redtenbacheri
Lineage: Eukaryota; Metazoa; Arthropoda; Insecta; Phasmatodea; Bacillidae
Exons: 3
Source: RefSeq, a predicted model, not a curated record